GACGAACGCUGGCGGCGUGCUUAACACAUGCAAGUCGAACGAAGAGCGAUGGAAGCUUGCUUCUAUCAAUCUUAGUGGCGAACGGGUGAGUAACGCGCAAUCAACCUGCCCUUCAGAGGGGGACAACAGUUGGAAACGACUGCUAAUACCGCAUACGAUCUGACCUCGGCAUCGAGGAUGGAUGAAGGGUGGCCUCUAUUUAUAAGCUAUCACUGAAGGAGGGGAUUGCGUCUGAUUAGCUAGUUGGAGGGGUAACGGCCCACCAAGGCGAUGAUCAGUAGCCGGUCUGAGAGGAUGAACGGCCACAUUGGGACUGAGACACGGCCCAGACUCCUACGGGAGGCAGCAGUGGGGAAUCUUCCGCAAUGGACGAAAGUCUGACGGAGCAACGCCGCGUGAGUGAUGACGGCCUUCGGGUUGUAAAGCUCUGUUAAUCGGGACGAAAGGCCUUCUUGCGAAUAGUUAGAAGGAU
This 472-nucleotide ribosomal RNA is filed under the name Veillonella dispar. RNAcentral describes it as "bacterial SSU rRNA". It matches the Rfam family "Bacterial small subunit ribosomal RNA", at positions 28 to 477 of the family's 1533-position model. The record is from RNAcentral. Lineage: Bacteria; Bacillati; Bacillota; Negativicutes; Veillonellales; Veillonellaceae.